CUAGCAUAUCAAUAAGCGGAGGAAAAGAAACCAACAGGGAUUGCCCUAGUAACGGCGAGUGAAGCGGCAACAGCUCAAAUUUGAAAUCUGGCGCAAGCCCGAGUUGUAAUUUGUAGAGGAUGCUUCUGGGCAGCGGCCGGUCUAAGUUCCUUGGAACAGGACGUCAUAGAGGGUGAGAAUCCCGUAUGCGACCGGCUUGCACCCGUCACGUAGCUCCUUCGACGAGUCGAGUUGUUUGGGAAUGCAGCUCUAAAUGGGAGGUAAAUUUCUUCUAAGGCUAAAUACCGGCCAGAGACCGAUAGCGCACAAGUAGAGUGAUCGAAAGAUGAAAAGCACUUUGGAAAGAGAGUUAAAAAGCACGUGAAAUUGUUGAAAGGGAAGCUCACGCAGCCAGACUUGUCGGCGGUGUUCCGCCGGUCUUCUGACCGGUCUAUUCGCCGCCGGCAGGCCAGCAUCACUUGGGAGCGCCGGAUAAAGGCGUGCGGAAUGUAGCCCCUCGGGGCAUUAUAGCCGCGCGCACAAUACGGCGCCUCCCGAGUGAGGUCCGCGCUUCGGCUAGGAUGCUGGCGUAAUGGUUGCUUGAGGCCCGUCUUGAAACACGGACCAAGGAGUCUAACAUCUAUGCGAGUGUUCGGGUGUCAAACCCCUACGCGGAAUGAAAGUGAACGGAGGUGGGAACCGCAAGGUGCACCAUCGACCGAUCCUGAUGUCUUCGGAUGGAUUUGAGUAAGAGCAUAGCUGUUGGGACCCGAAAGAUGGUGAACUAUGCCUGAAUAGGGUGAAGCCAGAGGAAACUCUGGUGGAGGCUCGCAGCGGUUCUGACGUGCAAAUCGAUCGUCAAAUUUGGGUAUAGGGGCGAAAGACUAAUCGAACCAUCUAGUAGCUGGUUCCUGCGA
This 896-nucleotide ribosomal RNA is filed under the name Hortaea werneckii. RNAcentral describes it as "LSU rRNA". It matches the Rfam family "Eukaryotic large subunit ribosomal RNA", at positions 34 to 963 of the family's 3401-position model. Lineage: Eukaryota; Fungi; Ascomycota; Dothideomycetes; Mycosphaerellales; Teratosphaeriaceae. The record is from RNAcentral.